GGAGCAUGCAUUUACCACACUAGUGCAGAAUUAGCUUUUAACGUCACCCCUUAGACGUCAGUUAAAUGGGGGUCUGACAUAAAUUAAUGACUGGUGGCACUUUCGUAAAUAAGUUGCCAAUAUAGACGUCAGUUAAGAGGGGCCCCGACGUCUAUAAUAUUGUAGACGUCAGGGUCCUCAUAACCUAUGUCUAUAGGCCCUCAUAUACGUCGGCUCCCC
Molecule: long non-coding RNA, 219 nt
Filed under: Vigna radiata
Lineage: Eukaryota; Viridiplantae; Streptophyta; Magnoliopsida; Fabales; Fabaceae
Description: long non-coding RNA (VRAD_LNC010217)
Source: RNAcentral